UAAGGGUGUCUUUAAUUGCGUGAUUCCACAGAACGUAUCUUUGUUGAAUCGUGAUUCUGAAUUUUUUUUUGGGUGUAAUUAGAGGUGAUCCUGGGCAGAGUCAGAAUUCCACAAUUUCAACUGAAAGGUGACUCAUUCCUGAAUUAAGCAGAAUAGGUGAAUUCAGGAAUAAACCACCUGAUUCUACCCCAAAGAAAUACCUAAAUUCCAUUUAUAAUCAACAUUAUUGGGUUCAAAUCUCUAAAAACCACAAGAAGCACAAAACCACAGAGUACGACUCUCCCUCAGCAACUCAUCGUUGCCCCGCAGAGCACGACCUCUCCUGCAAUUGGUCGUCAUUCUCACCGUCUUUAGCAACUUCUAAGAAGGAGACCAUCGACUCUUUCCAGAUCUGGUACCUCUCUCUCUCUCCCCUCCUUCACUAGAUGCUUACAGUCUACGCUUUAUUUUGUUCAUUCAUCUUCAGUUUUUCCCCUUCUCCCACUCUUUCCAUUAUCUCUCCCUUUCUAGUCUUUGUGCCUCUCCCCCUCUCCCCCCCUUUCGGAAGGUUGGGGUAUUAAUCCCCAUCUGUGAUGCCCUAAUCCCAGAAGAGCAGCGGAAGUUAUCACAGAACCCAACCGUAAUCUGCUGAUUGCAACCAGUGGAGGCUUAAAUCGACAAAGGACAGGGUGUUGAAGACUUGAAGUUGGGGAACAAUGUCUACUUCUCAUGGUGGUGAUAUUGCAUGGUUACAUGGGGAUCCUAUGUCCGAUGAUAAGAAAAAGUCAAGGUAUCGAUAUUGUCAGAAGAUGGUAAAUUCUGGAGGUGCUACUAGGUUGAAGCAGCAUUUGGUUAAGGGGUAUAAUGAUGUUGCCAAAUGCCCCCAAACACCAUAUGAAGUCAUAAAAGAUGUACAACGUAGUCUAAGAGGUCGAAGGUUAAAGAAGGCAGAGAAACAAAGGUCAGACUAGGAAUUCGAUGAGGCAGCCUUAGAGAGUCAUCCUCACCCAACAACAGUGGAUGUUGACUCUGAUGACUGAUAAUGAUUAGAACCCAGAAUCAGGUAUGUCAAGGGGAGAAUGGAGAGAAUUACAAAAAGUUAAGGCAUCGAGCUUGGUCUCUCAUAAAAUAGAAAAGGUUAGGCGGGUAGAGAUGAAGAGAGGAGUAGGUGGCUCUGGUUCUAGAGCAGUUGCAUCAGAUAUGUCUUUUGCAGAGGAAAGAAUGAACAAGAAGCAAAGGAAUGUGGAUGUGCCUCUAAGGAGAGCUCAGAGUGUGAGGGUUGCCACACCCUUAUCACCACCCCGAAGAGAUCCUGAUGAGAGGCAAGAUCCCUUGUUAUUUAGACAGCAGGAUAAAUAUCAAAGAACCAUAAAGCAAGCUUCGGGUAUAUGGAAACAACUUGGGGAUGCAAUGUGAAAUUCUUUUUUUCUAUAAUAGCAUCCCAGCUAAUGCUGCAUAAGGGACAUAUUACCAGACCAUGAUUGACACUGCGAGAAGGGCUGGUCCAGGAACAAAGGGCCCACUCCUUAUAAGUUGAUGAAUGUUUAUUUGCCUCAUCAAAAGGAGUUAGAUGAGUACAUUAAUGGCUUGAAGACUCAGUGGGCCCAAUAUGGAGUUACUGUGAUGUGUGAUGGUUGGACUGGACCAACUAGACAGUCCAUUAUCAACUUCAUGGUCGAUUCUUAGUUGGUGGAGAGGAGCAGGAUAGUGUGGACUCCAUGGGCAUCUCUAGUAAGAGCUUGACUGACACACUAAGAGGCUUGAGCAUAAAGAGUGGUGCUGGUACUUGUAUUCUUUGGGAGCCGUUUGAUGCACCUUCAGCUAUAUAUGGCACAGGGACAACCGGUUUAGACUAUAGUCAUUAUAGUCAAUUUGGCCAAUUUGGAUACCCACAGCCACAGGCCAGCUCUUACCCCUCUGCCACUGAGUGUGGGGUUUAGUCACACAACUCACACCCUCAAAUUGGGUCAGGUUUUGUGGACAGCAUCUUCGGGGCUUCAGAGCCUUAGCCCUAGCCGUACAUGGUGAUUCCUGUCUGUUAAGCACUGAGCAGUAGCUAUGGAUCACGUUCCACCUCAUUUAGUUUCUGAGAUAUUGACCCAAGGAUUGGUACCUCCAGUUUGUUGGUGAUGAUGUUUAUAGGGUUGCUGUGGCUGGCUUUGAGUAUUACUUCCGUCAAACUAUGAUAUGGUCAGCUUUUGUGAUUCAAUCAGAACAAAACAUACUUCAACAUCAGCAAUAACAUAGAGGCUAUGAUGAUAUGGCCCAUCACUCAUUUCAGUACUAAGAGUCUUGUUUCUAGGAUGGAGAUGCAAUGUCCAGUUGUUUACUAUGUAAGUAUAUCUAUGUUAUGUACUUUAUGGCUUUAUGUUUACUUGUUAGUUGUUAUUUGUUAUGUUACAUUGUUACUUGUUAGUUGUUACUUGAAUGUAUAUGAUUCAUCAAUCAGCAGUAGGAAUUAGAAAUUAUGGCUUUUAUAUAUUCUAAUGAUUAAGUUGUGUCAAAAUGGUGAUUGUAGAAGGUGGAUUGAUGAAUAUAUCAUACUAGAUGAAGUGUUCGAAAACUCGCCGCAUACUUACAUAGGGUACAUUGUCAAAGUACCAUUUUGAGUUUGUUUUUCGCAAAUCUGAUGUUUCUAUUUUGUUUAGAAUGGCUAAAAUAGGAUAAAUACAUAGUUUUCGGGACCUACAAAGGUCAUAUGCCCAUCGAGAUCUACCAGCGAGUUGACCGCCCGAAAGACACAAGGUUUCAACGAGAUCUCGAUCUCCAGAUCUCAUUUUGGUUGGCGAGAUUGAGUUUUAAAACCUUGCCAGCAAUGAAGGACAAUUGGUUAGGACUGACCAAGGAUUCAAUGACAACCUGGAUGAGAUUAGUCAGGAUCUUGUUUAUGAACUUGUAGAGAAGGUUGCAGAUGGAAAUAGGUCUGAAAUCAAGCAUGGAAUUGGCACCCUCUUUUUUAGGGAUGAGGUAGAGGAAGACGUGGUUAACACAGUGGAUUUGACUGGGCGAGAGGUAGAAGUUGCGGAUAGUAUGGAUCAGGUCGGCUCUGAUGAUGUGCCAACAGGAAGAGAAGAACCCCAUACUAAAGACAUCAAGGCUGGGGGCCUUGUAAGCUUUGUGUAAGAGGAUGGCAGCCAGGAUCUCAUCCUCAAAAGGGAUGGAGUGGAGGGGGGAGAGAGCGGUCGGCGAUGAAUUUGUUGACGAGAUUGGAGGGGAUGAGAGGAGGUGUUGAAGGGGAGGGAGGGUAGAAGAGGUUCGAGAAGUAAGAGGCAGCUUUGGCUUUGAUAUCUUUUGGACUGGUGAGGGUGUGACCAGAGGAAGAUGGAGCAUGGGAAUCGAGUUAGCAUUGGACUGAGCCUUGAGUGAUCUGUGGAAGUACGGAAUGUUAGAAUCACCAAGCUCAAGCCGUUUGAUAUGGGAUUUUUGGGUAAAGAAGCUUUCUUCUUGGGCAAGGAGGGAGGAAAGCUCGACGGAGACCUCUUUCUCUUCUUCACCCGAGGAGGAAUUGAGUUGGUCCAGUUGAAGCCUGGAUUGGAUGAGAAGAAGCUUUUCCUUGUAGGCGGUAACAUUGGAGGAGAUGUUACCAAAGGAGUUAGAGUUCCAACUCUUGAGAGCAAAUUUGACAAUCCUAAGCUUACUAGCGAAGGCAAGGAGAGGGGACGAGAGAGUAUAGAUGGGAAUAGACCAGGUGACCUCAACAAUGGGGAGAAAUUCCUAGUGGAGAGACCACAUGUCAAAGGACUUGAAGGGUUUGGGCACGAAAGAAAUGAGAUGGUGAACAAGAAGAGAGAUGGGGGAGUGGUCAGAGACACCAAGAAGUUCAAAUGUGCAUGGGAGGAGGGGAAAGCUACAAGCAAUGCUUCGUUGACACGAGCACAAUCCAGCUUGCAAGCAAUUAUAGCCGGACCACUGUGGCAGUUCGACCAAGAGAAUUUGGAGCCCAACCAUUGGAGGUCGUUAACAUCGAUAUGAUUGAUGCAAUCACUGAAAGCUUCUAUGGAAGGAGAGUCAAUGAUACCCCCUCUGAUCUUCUCAUGGGAAGCCUUGAUGACAUUGAAGUCCCCAACCAUGCCCCAUGGGAGGGAGCUAGUGAAAGAGGCAAAGGAUUGAAGAUCCCCAAAGGGGGAUCCUAUCCAUAGGUCGGUUCAGGGCAUAGAUGGCCGAGAAGAAGUAACGGAGAGAGCCAUAGGGGGUGAAAAUGGAGAUAUGAAUAGAUUGGGAGGAGGAAAUGCCAGAAACUUGGAGGAGGGGGUCCCAAAGGAUCCACAUGCGACCAUUAGGGCAUUGGGCAUUGUUGGAAAGGAAGGACCAAGAGGGGGCAAUGAAGGCAAUGAUACAGGAAGCAUUGUGCUUAAGAACAUGAGUUCUCAAAAGGCAGUAGAGGGCAGCCCUAGAAGAUUUAAUGAGGGAACAAAUGGAGGCAUGUUGGGCCGGGGAAUUCAAACCACAACGAUUCCAAAUGGUCCAAGGGGUCAUUUUGAAGGGGACAGAUACAACGAGUGCUCGGGAGAGCAGGAAGGAAGCUUAGAGGAGCUAGAGGAGGGCUUAGGCCUUAACCGACUAUGGUACUCUUUGAUGGAAGAGGGGGUAGGAGCCUAGGUUUGCAUGGAUUUAGAAGUGGUCCCUUAAGAGGUAGGACAAGACUGGGGUUGAGAGGAAGUGGCUUUCCGGAUGAGGCAACAACAAGGAUAAUGGCAGGGGCCAAGUUAGCUUCAGCCCUAAAGAGGGGAAGGACUUCAGUAGUAGGGUCCAGUGGGCCAGAAGCUUAACAGAGGGUGGCAUGGGGGCCUAAGGAAGAACCAGUUGUUCAGGAUGAGGCUCCAGAGGGGAGAGAUGACCAAUAGCUGUAGGGGAUCGCACAAGGGUGGUCUCUAGCAGCUCGGGCAGGUGUAGAGUAGACCUGAGAGUCGAUGUUGUACCUUCCAAGAUAUUGCACAGUGUGACUAGAAGAGGAGGCCUUUGAGAAGUCCCAGGAGAGCUUGCCCGACCAAUAGGGGGCCUCGAGUAUGCUCUGACAUGAGGGGGGAAGGAGACCAUCUUGAGUGACAGGAACAAGGCCAGAUGUGGCAGCAGGUAUGGCAAUGGACAUGUCUUCAAAUGUGGCAAAGGCAGUAAGAAGAGAUGAACUUAUGGUGGAAGCAGAGGUGGAGGAUGAGGAAGCAGGCGUGGCAAUCUCAAUAGAGGCAGCAGAAGUAGACGAGCCGGCUAAUGGAGAAGUAGUGGCAUUGGAAGCAGAAGUUGUUGCGUAUCUAGUAGAGACGACAGCAGCAGAGGAGGGAGCAACGGAGGCAUCAUAGGAUAAAGCAGUUGAGGCGACCAAUGGAGGAGAGGUAGCAGACAUGGCAAUUGAGUAGAUACCAGCAGGAACGACGGAGAUUGAAGGAGCCAAGGUGGUAUCAGGAGCAGACAAGGCGUUGAUGGCGGCAAUAGGCAAGGCAUCAACGAUGGAAGCAACACAAGUGGUGUCGACUGGAAAGAAGGGCAAAUAGACUACCUGGUUGAUCGGUAAGGCUAAAGAGGUAAUAACCGAGGAUGCAAAAGGAGGAGGAGAGGAUAGGAGGCCAACAGUGAGGGCUGGUGAAGGAGGACAAUUCGGGUUAAGAUUUCCCAAAGGGUUCAGAGGAGAGGAUACGGGUAAGCGAUGGAGUUGGAAAACUCCAGGUGGACAACGAAAACAGGUGAGGAGGUAGGUAGGAGGAUUGGAUCAGAAGGGGGAAGGUUAGGAGCAGCAUUAAGUUGAUGGUUUGGGCGGUUGAGAUAGGAUAGAGUGGACCCAGUUUGGUUGGUUGGGAUUGGGUUAAGGAGGGUCAGAGCCGAUAGGGUUAGCUAAGGUCAAAGGGACAAACCUGUAGCGUGAGGGAGAGAAGAAGAAAGGAGAGGCUCAAAAACAGAGGGGAUCAAGAGGAUGGCGGUCCUAGAGCCAGAGGUGAGGCCAACGGUGGUAGAAUCGUGGCGAGAUGGGGCAACAACAUCGACAAUCGAAUAAGAGUCUGAGUUAGCCCUAGACGAACGUGCAAACAUAGCAUAGUUCAUGGAGUCAAUACCAUCAGUCGAGUCUCUGUUGGAAAGAACAGAGAACCUUUUCAAACUGAUGGGUAGAAGGACGUCAUCUAACAAACCAACAAAUUGAGGUCUUGCAUGUCCAGAGGUCUCUUCGGUCAAAAAGGCUCAUCGUAUGUGCGUAGACUAUAGAGCACUCAAUCAAUCAACUGUGAAGGAUAAAUUUCCCAUGCCUAUAAUUGACGAAUUGUUGGACGAGCUACAUGGAGCUAAUUACUUCACCAAACUCGAUUUAAGAUUGGGUUACCAUCAGAUUCGUAUAUACCUAGGGGAUAUCGAGAAGAUAGUGUUCCGAACACAUCAAGGUCACUAUGAAUACUUGGUGAUGCCCUUCGGAUUAACCAACACUUUGUCAACUUUCGAAGCUCUAAAGAAUUCUAUCUUCAAGGAUUAUCUUCAUAAGUUUUUACUAGUAUUCUUUGAUGAUAUUUUGGUUUAUAGUGAGAAUUUGAAAGAGCAUUUGGAACAUGUCAGCAUUGUAUUUUCUAUUUUAAUAUCUCAUCAAUUGUUUGCAAAAAAGAAAAAGUGUAGUUUUUGUCAGAAGGUGAAGAAUUUGGGCCAUAUCAUCUGCUAUGAAGGAGUGGUAGUAGAUCAAGAGAAAAUAGCAACUAUGCUUGAGUGGCCCAAGCCACAAUCAGUGAAGGCAUUGCGAGGGGUUUUAGGGUUGACGGGAUAUUAUUGUAAAUUCAUCCAAAAUUUCGGUACAAUCUCCUCUCACUAACAUGUUGAAGAAAGGAGGCUUUAAAUGGGGAGCCACGGUCUGAAGAAGCAUUUGUGCAGCUCAAACAAAUAAUGAUGCAAGCCCCUGUCCUUGAACUUCCUGAUUUUUCUAUAUCUUUCGAGAUCGAGUGUGAUGCUUCUAGUUCGGGCAUUGGAGGAGUGUUCAUGCAAGAAAAACGGCCAUUAGCUUUCUUUAGUCAUGCACUGCAAGGUAAAAAUUUAUUUAUAGCUAUUUAUAAAAAAGAAAUGCUAGCUUUGGUUCUUGCAAUGCAAUGUUGGAGGCAUUAUUUAUUGGGUCAACAAUUUAUUGUAAGAACGAACCAAAGAAGCUUGAAAUAUUUGUGGCAUCAGAAGAUUAUUACACCGGCCAGCAGAGAUGGUUAGUCAAAUUAAUGAGUUAUGAUUUUGUAAUUGCUUACAAAACUAGGAAAUAUAAUGUAGUGGCCAAUGCGUUAUCUAGAAGAGAAGAGAAGGGAGAGAAUUUUGCAAUAUCCAGUCCGACACCACGGUGGAUCAAACUAAUAUGAGAAGUGGAGAACAAUCCAAAGUUGCAAGAUAUGAUAAAACGUGUACAACAAGGGGAGGCGGUGGGACCAUGGUGCUACAAAGAAGGAAUUUUAUUUUUCAAAAACAAAAUUUAUCUAUUGGAAGAUUCUACAUUAGUUCCUAUUAUUGUGGAAGAAUUACACUCUAGCACACAUGAAGGCUAUCACAAGACCCUCCAACGGAUACACUCGGUUUACCAUUGGAGUGGGAUGAGGAGAAUAAUUAGAGAGCACAUCAAGCAAUGUGAUACUUGCCAACAUCAUAAAUGGGAGAACACCUCACUUGUUGGCCUAUUCCAUCACUUCCAAUUCCAAAUGAGGUAUGGACAGACUUAUCCAUGGAUUUUAUAGAGGGAUUACCAAAUUCUAAGGGUAAAUCUGUAAUUUUUGCGGUAGUAGAUUGUCUUUCAAAAUUUGUACAUUUUAUUCCCAUUUCUCACCCAUACUCAUCAACAUCAGUAGCUCAAGUAUUUUUUGAUAACAUUUUCAAAUUGUAUGGGAUGCCCAAGAGUAUUGUUUGUGACACA
Long non-coding RNA from Macadamia integrifolia, 7831 nucleotides. RefSeq lists it as uncharacterized. The transcript has 3 exons. NCBI's taxonomy places the organism in Eukaryota, Viridiplantae, Streptophyta, Magnoliopsida, Proteales, Proteaceae. The record is from RefSeq and is a predicted model, not a curated record.